AAGUCGUAACAAGGUUUCCGUAGGUGAACCUGCGGAAGGAUCAUUAAAGAAAUUUCUGCACUCUCUGAGUCAGAACAUCUCAUCCAUCCACCCUCUUGUGCAAUGUUCAUUUUCUUUGGCGAUGCCAUGGAUGAUGGCUUUUUCGAAAGCUGUUGUUUGUCUUGUUUGUGGGAGUAUGCAAAUGCCCAGCACAUUCAAGUGUGCUCGCCAAAGGGUUUUCUGAACCAAACUUUUUAUGUGUCGAGAAUGUUUACAAAACAAAAUAAACCGAAAGGUAACCAAGAAA
This 286-nucleotide unclassified non-coding RNA is filed under the name plant metagenome. RNAcentral's name for it is "partial contains small subunit ribosomal RNA and internal transcribed spacer 1". The stretch from base 1 to 46 matches the Rfam family "Eukaryotic small subunit ribosomal RNA", at positions 1786 to 1831 of the family's 1831-position model. The record is from RNAcentral.